CGUUAGCAUGGAGGCUAACGGAGCUAGCAGAUUACUGAGGUACAUGUUAUCGGUGGUGUCAGGACUAGCACAGCGGGUUAGCAUUGUGCUAAUGAAACAACACUGUAGGAUGCAUCCAGCAGGUAAUGCUGAAUGAAUUAGCCUGGCUCACAAUCAGUAUUCCAAUUUAUCUCAGUAGUGUUCAUGGACUUAGAGCUCAGGGCUUUAAUUCUCCACACCAAACUAGUCAAACCAGUUCUUUAUGGGCCUUGCUUUCCAAACAGUCAUGCUGGACCAGAAACCAGCCUUUCCAAAACUGUUGCCACAGCACUGUAAGCAUGCAGGUCAACCUGCAACUCUUUUCGAGUAACCGCUGACAUAUCGUCUACAUUUUUUAGCCAUCAAGCAGCCGUCAUGAAAUAGAAUCUCAGAAGAACUGGCCCAGUGUCUGCACAAGUACGACUGGCUGUGUUUGAGGGAGGGAGGGUCAAACAGGGUCUCUCCUGCUGCAAUAUCUCUCCUGCUGAGACUGAUCCGAGUGUCUGUAGGAGUGGGGAUUCUGUACUUUAAAAUGUAAAGUCUGUACUUUUUAUUUGUUUCAUCAAUUUGUAAGUAUGUGUUGUUAUUAUAGGACUAUGUAAUACACAUGUGUGCAAUGGCUGCUUGGCUUGCUGCUGAUGGAGGAUUUGAAAACCACUGGUGGCUAUGGCAUUGGCUCUGUGUGUUCCUGUGCCAAUUUCAGCCUUUUUUAAAUAAAAUCUGAAAAUUUUUCUAGUUCUACAACUCUGUGUCACUCAGAACCAACAAUGUGGGCCGCACUAAUGAUCCUCUGCCAUUGUUCUUAUUUGUAUUGGCAUUGUUAAGGCUUCCAGGCUUUCUCAAUGACUAAAUUACAUU
Long non-coding RNA from Trichomycterus rosablanca, 876 nucleotides. RefSeq lists it as uncharacterized. The record is from RefSeq and is a predicted model, not a curated record. The transcript is spliced from 3 exons. Lineage: Eukaryota; Metazoa; Chordata; Actinopteri; Siluriformes; Trichomycteridae.